CCUACGGGCGGCAGCAGUGAGGAAUAUUGGUCAAUGGACGAGAGUCUGAACCAGCCAAGUAGCGUGAAGGAUGACUGCCCUAUGGGUUGUAAACUUCUUUUAUAUGGGAAUAAAACGUUCCACGUGUGGGAUUUUGUAUGUACCAUAUGAAUAAGGAUCGGCUAACUCCGUGCCAGCAGCCGCGGUAAUACGGAGGAUCCGAGCGUUAUCCGGAUUUAUUGGGUUUAAAGGGAGCGUAGGUGGGUUGUUAAGUCAGUUGUGAAAGUUUGCGGCUCAACCGUAAAAUUGCAGUUGAAACUGGCAGUCUUGAGUACAGUUGAGGUAGGCGGAAUUCGUGGUGUAGCGGUGAAAUGCUUAGAUAUCACGAAGAACUCCGAUUGCGAAGGCAGUUCACUGGACUGCAACUGACACUGAGGCUCGAAAGUGUGGGUAUCAAACAGGAUUAGAUACCCGAGUAGUC
RNAcentral lists this ribosomal RNA (460 nucleotides) under uncultured bacterium. RNAcentral's name for it is "partial 16S ribosomal RNA". It matches the Rfam family "Bacterial small subunit ribosomal RNA", at positions 338 to 795 of the family's 1533-position model. The record is from RNAcentral.